Molecule: ribosomal RNA, 91 nt
Filed under: Pseudocoprococcus catus
Lineage: Bacteria; Bacillati; Bacillota; Clostridia; Lachnospirales; Lachnospiraceae
Description: partial 23S ribosomal RNA
Rfam family: Bacterial large subunit ribosomal RNA
Source: RNAcentral
CCCCUUGAAGACGACGAGGUAGAUAGGGCAGGGGUGGAAGGGCAGUAAUGUCCGGAGCUGACUGUUACUAAUCGGUCGAGGGCUUGACCUG